AAUGGGUCAGCGACUUAUAUUCUGUAGCAAGGUUAACCGAAUAGGGGAGCCGGAGGGAAACCGAGUCUUAAUUGGGCGUUAAGUUGCAGGGUAUAGACCCGAAACCCGGUGAUCUAGCCAUGGGCAGGUUGAAGGUUGGGUAACACUAACUGGAGGACCGAACCGACUAAUGUUGAAAAAUUAGCGGAUGACCUGUGGCUGGGGGUGAAAGGCCAAUCAAACCGGGAGAUAGCUGGUUCUCCCCGAAAGCUAUUUAGGUAGCGCCUCGUGAAUUCAUCUCCGGGGGUAGAGCACUGUUUCGGCUAGGGGGCCAUCCCGGCUUACCAACCCGAUGCAAACUGCGAAUACCGGAGAAUGUUAUCACGGGAGACACACGGCGGGUGCUAACGUCCGUCGUGAAGAGGGAAACAACCCAGACCGCCAGCUAAGGUCCCAAAGUCAUGGUUAAGUGGGAAACGAUGUGGGAAGGCCCAGACAGCCAGGAUGUUGGCUUAGAAGCAGCCAUCAUUUAAAGAAAGCGUAAUAGCUCACUGGUCGAGUCGGCCUGCGCGGAAGAUGUAACGGGGCUAAACCAUGCACCGAAGCUGCGGCAGCGACGCUUAUGCGUUGUUGGGUAGGGGAGCGUUCUGUAAGCCUGUGAAGGUGGCCUGUGAGGGUUGCUGGAGGUAUCAGAAGUGCGAAUGCUGACAUAAGUAACGAUAAAGCGGGUGAAAAGCCCGCUCGCCGGAAGACCAAGGGUUCCUGUCCAACGUUAAUCGGGGCAGGGUGAGUCGACCCCUAAGGCGAGGCCGAAAGGCGUAGUCGAUGGGAAACGGGUUAAUAUUCCCGUACUUGGUGUUACUGCGAAGGGGGGACGGAGAAGGCU
This 865-nucleotide ribosomal RNA is filed under the name Salmonella enterica subsp. enterica serovar Dublin. RNAcentral's name for it is "partial 23S ribosomal RNA". It matches the Rfam family "Bacterial large subunit ribosomal RNA", at positions 614 to 1483 of the family's 2925-position model. Lineage: Bacteria; Pseudomonadati; Pseudomonadota; Gammaproteobacteria; Enterobacterales; Enterobacteriaceae. The record is from RNAcentral.